GCGGAUGUGGCUCAUUGGGAGAGCAUCUCCUUGCCAAGGAGAGGGUCAAGAGUUCGAAUCUCUUCAUCCGCU
RNAcentral lists this transfer RNA (72 nucleotides) under Cyanobium sp. Its description in RNAcentral is "tRNA-Gly". It matches the Rfam family "tRNA". Rfam says of the family: Transfer RNA (tRNA) molecules are approximately 80 nucleotides in length. RNAcentral also lists the same sequence under 1 other name. The record is from RNAcentral. Lineage: Bacteria; Bacillati; Cyanobacteriota; Cyanophyceae; Synechococcales; Prochlorococcaceae.